AGGUAAUGCUUCGAUUGCGGUACGGUUGUGUUCCAGAAAGGGAAUCAUUCCUGUUUUAGAGCCUCCCAGUAUUCUGAAUUGUAAUGAAAAUCUGGACUCUCUAGCAUUACAGGUGGAAACUGCAGACACCAGCAAUGUUUCAGCAAUUGCAAGUAAUACUCAGAUCCUUACCUCCAUUCCCAGUCGACUGACAACGGAGAACAUCUCUGCUGCUGCGAAUAUCGCAGUGCAGAUUCUAAGAAAACCAAACGUUUCAGAAGACUCUCAGGCAUCUGUGGCAGUUUUAACUACAGUGAGUCAACUCUUGGAUGCCAAUGAAACAGAAUUCAACAACAAUAAUCUUGUCAAUGUUACAGCAAGCCUCACAAAAACAAUGGAAGAAUUUUCUUUGAUGGGCAAUGUCACUCAGCCCAACGUUGCAGUCCAGUCUGUUCCACUGAAACUGAACUCCUCUACAAUUCUGUUUUUGGCACAGAGAGGUAAGCUUAGGCAUGUUGUUGAAUUUACAAGCACAAGGA
RNAcentral lists this long non-coding RNA (518 nucleotides) under Numida meleagris (helmeted guineafowl). Its description in RNAcentral is "lncRNA (ENSNMEG00000017258.1)". Lineage: Eukaryota; Metazoa; Chordata; Aves; Galliformes; Numididae. The record is from RNAcentral.